This is a non-coding RNA of Bos taurus (domestic cattle), 72 nucleotides long. The record is from Rfam. Lineage: Eukaryota; Metazoa; Chordata; Mammalia; Artiodactyla; Bovidae.
UCCCUGGUGGCUCAGACGGUAAAGCAUCUGCCUGCGACGCAGGAGACCUUGGUUUGAUCCCUGGGCUGGGAA